RNAcentral lists this ribosomal RNA (478 nucleotides) under uncultured bacterium. Its description in RNAcentral is "partial 16S ribosomal RNA". It matches the Rfam family "Bacterial small subunit ribosomal RNA", at positions 28 to 523 of the family's 1533-position model. The record is from RNAcentral.
GACGAACGCUGGCGGCGUGCUUAACACAUGCAAGUCGAACGGUAAGGCCCUUCGGGGUACACGAGUGGCGAACGGGUGAGUAACACGUGGGUGAUCUGCCCUGCACUUCGGGAUAAGCCUGGGAAACUGGGUCUAAUACCGGAUAGGACCACUGCCUGCAUGGGUGGUGGUGGAAAGCUUUUGCGGUGUGGGAUGGGCCCGCGGCCUAUCAGCUUGUUGGUGGGGUGAUGGCUUGCCAAGGCGACGACGGGUAGCCGGCCUGAGAGGGUGACCGGCAACACUGGGACUGAGUUACGGCCCAGACUCCUACGGGAGGCAGCAGUGGGGAAUAUUGCACAAUGGGCGCAAGCCUGAUGCAGCGACGCCGCGUGAGGGAUGACGGCCUUCGGGUUGUAAACCUCUUUCAGCACCGACGAAGCGCAAGUGACGGUAGGUGCAGAAGAAGGACCGGCCAACUACGUGCCAGCCGCCGCUGUAA